This 1208-nucleotide small RNA is filed under the name Malus domestica (apple). Its description in RNAcentral is "sRNA MD14G0095600". Lineage: Eukaryota; Viridiplantae; Streptophyta; Magnoliopsida; Rosales; Rosaceae. The record is from RNAcentral.
GCUCUCUCUUUCACACUUAUCAUCAAACAGACUCUCUAACCUCUCGGAUCUCUCUGCACUCUCUCAUCUCCUCCUUUGGUAUGUCAACAGCCUCGGACUCAACACUCUCUCUAAUCCCUCGAAUCAUCUUUGCACUCUCUACUCUACUUCUCCUCCUUGUCUUCGUCAACCAUCUUCCUCCCUCUCAUAUACUUCCUCUUCCUCUUCACUUUCACGCAACAGCGCCGCCGUCCACCGGUCACCAACCCCCAAAUUAAACUUCUAGAAUCAUUUUUCCGUCCUCUUUCCAACCCCCAAAUUAGUUUCUACAAAUUCGUAACCAAAUUUCCUCAAUUUCAGAUCUAAGAAACGGUGACCAGUGCUUUUCCGGCCAAUUUCUGGCCAAGCCUGUCGGAAUUGGACCUCGACCCAAGAGAUCAGUGAACAACUUCUGGGUGUCCACAGAGUGCAAGCAAGGUGAACUUCGACGGUUGGUUAUGGCAGUUUUUUUGGUGCGUACCGUUUCGUUCCUGUCAUAUGGAGAACAUGAAGUAUAUGGAAGAGUGGCUCUCUUCUCUGAGGAGCAGCUGACACCGGUUGAAAUGGUUACUGGCCUAGUUUGAUGUAAUUACUUACUAGUAGUAUGGGACUGGCUAAUAUAACUUUGAGUAGCAGAGAUGGGAGUAUUAUAGAGGAUUCUAGUGCCACUAUUGCUGGAAGGUGGUUUGUGUUCCUAUUGCCUUUGCCUUAGGAUUGACUUGGAAGGAGGCUGUUGCUACUGUCUUACUCGCAAUUCAAAAUUAUGGUUAAUUGUGUGGAGUAUCUGGGGAAUGGGGCUUGACAAUAGAUGCCAAAUGGUAUCAGAUUGCUCUACUCUCUCAGUGCCUGGGUAUUAUAUAAAGCUUUGCGCUUUCAGAUUAAGGGUCUGACACUGGCACUCAAGCAGCAUUUUGGAAAGAAAAUUUUGGAACUAGAAGAUGAGAAAAGAACUGUGCAGGUUCACUUAAAACCUUAAUAUUUGAUGUUCUUAUGCUUGAGAGAACCGAUAUUCACUUAAAACCUUUAUAAUUUUAGUUUUAUUUUAGUUGGGGAUAGAACAUGUAAAAUUAUAGUUGUUUUUACUUAUAAUGGUUGUGAAUAUCCUUGUAAAUUGUAAUAUUAUAGAUGCUUGUGGUUGUGGGCUGUUUUAAUUUUAUGAAAAAAUAAUUUUUUGUUUAGCCUCAAUCUCA